GAGGGCAUAGCUCAGGUGGUAGAGUGCAUGCUUAACAUGUGUGAGGUCUUGGGUUCAAUUCCCAGCCCCUCU
RNAcentral lists this transfer RNA (72 nucleotides) under Camelus ferus (Wild Bactrian camel). It matches the Rfam family "tRNA". Rfam says of the family: Transfer RNA (tRNA) molecules are approximately 80 nucleotides in length. Their secondary structure includes four short double-helical elements and three loops (D, anti-codon, and T loops). Lineage: Eukaryota; Metazoa; Chordata; Mammalia; Artiodactyla; Camelidae. The record is from Rfam by way of RNAcentral.